AUGCAGUCGUACGAUGGAUCCCGCGUAUACGGGCGGGGAUUAGUGGCGAACGGGUGAGUAACACGUGGGCAAUCUGCCCUGCACUCUGGGACAAGCCCUGGAAACGGGGUCUAAUACCGGAUAUGACCGUCUGCCGCAUGGUGGAUGGUGUAAAGCUCCGGCGGUGCAGGAUGAGCCCGCGGCCUAUCAGCUUGUUGGUGAGGUAGUGGCUCACCAAGGCGACGACGGGUAGCCGGCCUGAGAGGGCGACCGGCCACACUGGGACUGAGACACGGCCCAGACUCCUACGGGAGGCAGCAGUGGGGAAUAUUGCACAAUGGGCGAAAGCCUGAUGCAGCGACGCCGCGUGAGGGAUGACGGCCUUCGGGUUGUAAACCUCUUUCAGCAGGGAAGAAGCGAAAGUGACGGUACCUGCAGAAGAAGCGCCGGCUAACUACGUGCCAGCAGCCGCGGUAAUACGUAGGGCGCAAGCGUUGUCCGGAAUUAUUGGGCGUAAAGAGCUCGUAGGCGGCUUGUCACGUCGGUUGUGAAAGCCCGGGGCUUAACCCCGGGUCUGCAGUCGAUACGGGCAGGCUAGAGUUCGGUAGGGGAGAUCGGAAUUCCUGGUGUAGCGGUGAAAUGCGCAGAUAUCAGGAGGAACACCGGUGGCGAAGGCGGAUCUCUGGGCCGAUACUGACGCUGAGGAGCGAAAGCGUGGGGAGCGAACAGGAUUAGAUACCCUGGUAGUCCACGCCGUAAACGGUGGGCACUAGGUGUGGGCAACAUUCCACGUUGUCCGUGCCGCAGCUAACGCAUUAAGUGCCCCGCCU
Molecule: ribosomal RNA, 809 nt
Filed under: Streptomyces sp. MJ216
Lineage: Bacteria; Bacillati; Actinomycetota; Actinomycetes; Kitasatosporales; Streptomycetaceae
Description: bacterial SSU rRNA
Rfam family: Bacterial small subunit ribosomal RNA
Source: RNAcentral